RNAcentral lists this ribosomal RNA (446 nucleotides) under uncultured bacterium. RNAcentral's name for it is "partial 16S ribosomal RNA". It matches the Rfam family "Bacterial small subunit ribosomal RNA", at positions 338 to 795 of the family's 1533-position model. The record is from RNAcentral.
CCUACGGGUGGCUGCAGUCGAGAAUCAUUCACAAUGGGGGAAACCCUGAUGGUGCAACGCCGCGUGGGGGAAUGAAGGUCUUCGGAUUGUAAACCCCUGUCAUGUGGGAGCAAAUUAAAAAGAUAGUACCACAAGAGGAAGAGACGGCUAACUCUGUGACAGCAGCCGCGGUAAUACAGAGGUCUCAAGCGUUGUUCGGAAUCACUGGGCGUAAGGCGUGCGUAGGCUGUUUCGUAAGUCGGGUGUGAAAGGCGCGGGCUCAACCCGCGGACGGCACAUGAUACUGGGAGACUAGAGUAAUGGAGGGGGAACCGGAAUUCUCGGUGUAGCAGUGAAAUGCGUAGAUAUCGAGAGGAACACUCGUGGCGAAGGCGGGUUCCUGGACAUUAACUGACGCUGAGGCACGAAGGCCAAGGGAGCGAAAGGGAUUAGAUACCCCAGUAGUC